RNAcentral lists this ribosomal RNA (486 nucleotides) under uncultured bacterium. RNAcentral describes it as "partial 16S ribosomal RNA". It matches the Rfam family "Bacterial small subunit ribosomal RNA", at positions 30 to 507 of the family's 1533-position model. The record is from RNAcentral.
AUUGAACGCUGGCGGCAUGCCUUACACAUGCAAGUCGAACGGCAGCACGGGUGCUUGCACCUGGUGGCGAGUGGCGAACGGGUGAGUAAUACAUCGGAACAUGUCCUGUAGUGGGGGAUAGCCCGGCGAAAGCCGGAUUAAUACCGCAUACGAUCCACGGAUGAAAGCGGGGGACCUUCGGGCCUCGCGCUAUAGGGUUGGCCGAUGGCUGAUUAGCUAGUUGGUGGGGUAAAGGCCUACCAAGGCGACGAUCAGUAGCUGGUCUGAGAGGACGACCAGCCAGACUGGGACUGAGACACGGCCCAGACUCCUACGGGAGGCAGCAGUGGGGAAUUUUGGACAAUGGGCGAAAGCCUGAUCCAGCAAUGCCGCGUGUGUGAAGAAGGCCUUCGGGUUGUAAAGCACUUUUGUCCGGAAAGAAAUCCUUGACUCUAAUACAGUCGGGGGAUGACGGUACCGGAAGAAUAAGCACCGGCUAACUACGUG